RNAcentral lists this small nuclear RNA (20 nucleotides) under Arabidopsis thaliana (thale cress). Its description in RNAcentral is "snRNA_13015". Lineage: Eukaryota; Viridiplantae; Streptophyta; Magnoliopsida; Brassicales; Brassicaceae. The record is from RNAcentral.
ACGGCAGUAGCAACGGUAGA